Non-coding RNA from Peromyscus maniculatus bairdii (prairie deer mouse), 462 nucleotides. The record is from RefSeq and is a predicted model, not a curated record. Lineage: Eukaryota; Metazoa; Chordata; Mammalia; Rodentia; Cricetidae.
AAGAGUAAGAUUUACAGACGUAAGAGAACAGGAAAAGCCCAGAGGCAAGAGCCAAAAUUGGACCUAUCCACAUCCUGUCGUGAAGAUUUGAGGACUCACGAGGACCCCACUCCUUCCUGAGUAUCUACUGGCCAUGAAUGGCUUCUGGAGAAGGAAGAGACGUUAGCGGAGGUGUAGCUAUGGGUAAGGUGAGCAUGCUCUGAAAACCCCUCACCCAUACUCCUGUAAGCAGCUCCAGUGAAACUCAUUAGGUCGCAUCCCACCCCACCCCACCCCCCAAAAAAGUCAUGAAAAGUAGACGAGGGGCUAGUUGAGAAAAGGGAGGUAAUUAGUGGGGGUGGGAAGGGGACAAGAGAGGAUAAUGGGAAUGAAUACGAUCAAAGAACAUUAUACACAAAAAAUGUUGUAAUGAAUCCCAUUACUACACAAUAGUUAAUAUAUACUAAUAAAAACUUUUUAAAA